Long non-coding RNA from Helianthus annuus (common sunflower), 885 nucleotides. RefSeq lists it as uncharacterized. Lineage: Eukaryota; Viridiplantae; Streptophyta; Magnoliopsida; Asterales; Asteraceae. The record is from RefSeq and is a predicted model, not a curated record. The transcript is spliced from 6 exons.
UUUCCAUUCCCUCCUCUCUCUCACAACUCACAUCAACUUUAUCAGAUCAACUUUCUCCUUCCUUUCUCUCUCUUUCUCUCAGAUCUAGAUCGGAAGUGUUUGAACCACCAGUGGAGGAAACUAGGGUUUCGUCGUCCGUGAUGAAAGAUGUCUGGAGUGCUGAUGGUUUGAGAUGAAAUCAGAUGAUGAAAACACACAGGGUUGAACACUGAUUUGAAGAAACCCUAACUGAAGGUUUCGUCAGGUCAUAUCUGCUGUGGUUUCUUUCGGCUUUUCUUCCACAUCAACGAUUAGCAAAAAGCUGCAGUUCAACCAGGGGAAAAUAUAUGUUGUAUGGUGGGUUGGAGAGGUGGGGAGUCAACUGAUGAUGGUGAAACUACAUAGGGUCAAGUACCCUGUGUUAUUGGGAUUCUAAUGGGGCCUCUGGUGUGGAAGAAGAAGUUACAAAAGUAAUAAUAAGAGCAUUCCUGGAUGAGAAACCACAUCAGCAAGUGCGUUCUCAAUCAGAUCAACCAUAUCCCAUGGCUCGAAAGCUAGCCCGCUUUCACAGUCGAAGACAUGUGGCAUGAAUAUCAGUUUCAACUCUCAAAACAAUAUCAAGAGUUUCACAGGCCUCACGUCAUCCUUCUUAGCCAAGGAAAAACAAACGCUUUUGAUGAGCUUUAUAGUUGAUGAUACAAACGGUGAAACGCAAGAUGAUGACAUCACCAGCGAAGAUAGCGAGUCAGAUGAUGCCGAUGAUCAUUUCGAUCCCGUUUGUGCGAUAUGUGAUAAUGGUGGCAGGCUUACAUGAGUCAAAACGAAUAUAAAUGUGAAAAUUGUCAGUAUAGUCUGCACCAGUACUUUGUCUGUGGUGAACUAGGGUCUUCUGAUAAAUCUGCAAAU